Molecule: RNA transcript, 1611 nt
Organism: Oncorhynchus keta (chum salmon)
Lineage: Eukaryota; Metazoa; Chordata; Actinopteri; Salmoniformes; Salmonidae
Gene name: mastermind-like protein 3
Exons: 5
Source: RefSeq, a predicted model, not a curated record
AAGGUGUGGUGGGAAUGUCACGGCAGCCCGGUGCUGUCCCUCCCCCUCACCCUGCCGGGGGUGUGGCCUCGGGCGCGGGGCCCAAUCAGGGCGCAGGGGCCCCUCCCGGUUACCUGGGCAACCAGCAGCAGGCGGCCAUUAUGAAACAGAUGAUGGUGAUGGAGCAGGAGAAGAGAGUUCAGCUCCACAUGAUGGAACAACAGAAACAACAGCUACUGAGAGAACAGAGACAGCAGCAACAACAGAUACUAUUGGCUGAACAGGUGAGAGGAGGGAGGAGACAGAACAGAGACAGCAGCAACAACAGAUACUAUUGGCUGAACAGGUGAGAGGAGGGAGGAGACAGAACAGAGACAGCAGCAACAACAGAUACUAUUGGCUGAACAGGUGAGAGGAGGGAGGAGACAGAACAGAGACAGCAGCAACAACAGAUACUAUUGGCUGAACAGGUGAGAGGAGGGAGGAGACAGAACAGAGACAGCAGCAACAACAGAUACUAUUGGCUGAACAGGUGAGAGGAGGGAGGAGACAGAACAGAGACAGCAGCAACAACAGAUACUAUUGGCUGAACAGGUGAGAGGAGGGAGGAGACAGAACAGAGACAGCAGCAACAACAGAUACUAUUGGCUGAACAGGUGAGAGGAGGGAGGAGACAGAACAGAGACAGCAGCAACAACAGAUACUAUUGGCUGAACAGGUGAGAGGAGGGAGGAGACAGAACAGAGACAGCAGCAACAACAGAUACUAUUGGCUGAACAGGUGAGAGGAGGGAGGAGACAGAACAGAGACAGCAGCAACAACAGAUACUAUUGGCUGAACAGGUGAGAGGAGGGAGGAGACAGAACAGAGACAGCAGCAACAACAGAUACUAUUGGCUGAACAGGUGAGAGGAGGGAGGAGACAGAACAGAGACAGCAGCAACAACAGAUACUAUUGGCUGAACAGGUGAGAGGAGGGAGGAGACAGAACAGAGACAGCAGCAACAACAGCUACUAUUGGCUGAACAGGUGAGAGGAGGGAGGAGACAGAACAGAGACAGCAGCAACAACAGCUACUAUUGGCUGAACAGGUGAGAGGAGGGAGGAGACAGAACAGAGACAGCAGCUACUAUUGGCUGAACAGGUGAGAGGAGGGAGGAGACAGAACAGAGACAGCAGCAACAACAGCUACUAUUGGAUGAACAGGUGAGAGGAGGGAGGAGACAGAACAGAGACAGCAGCAACAACAGCUACUAUUGGCUGAACAGGUGGGAGGAGGGAGGAGACAGAACAGAGACAGCAGCAACAACAGAUACUAUUGGCUGAACAGGUGAGAGGAGGGAGGAGACAGAACAGAGACAGCAGCAACAACAGAUACUAUUGGCUGAACAGGUGAGAGGAGGGAGGAGACAGAACAGAGACAGCAGCAACAACAGAUACUAUUGGCUGAACAGGUGAGAGGAGGGAGGAGACAGAACAGAGACAGCAGCAACAACAGAUACUAUUGGCUGAACAGGUGAGAGGAGGGAGGAGACAGAACAGAGACAGCAGCAACAACAGAUACUAUUGGCUGAACAGGUGAGAGGAGGGAGGAGACAGAACAGAGACAGCAGCAACAACAGAUACUAUUGGC